Molecule: non-coding RNA, 2495 nt
Organism: Lepisosteus oculatus (spotted gar)
Lineage: Eukaryota; Metazoa; Chordata; Actinopteri; Semionotiformes; Lepisosteidae
Source: RefSeq, a predicted model, not a curated record
AGCCCUCGCUCAGAUUGCCGGGCGAUGGGAGGCAGCGGCGGAGAGAGUCCAAGGAGCGGAGGAGGCAGCAGGAAGGCGAGCAGCCCGAUCAUCCCGAUCACCCCGAUCACGUGACUCCGGGAUGCGCGCGCUUCGGGCGCGUCAGGUUUGUUGGUCUCGAGCAGGCGGUGUAGGUCAGGUGAAAUGGCGGAUCAAAAAUGACGACAGACGCAGCAGGGUAAAAACAAACAAAAAAAUUGACAAUGGGUUGUAAAAGCCUUGGGAAAAGAGUUACAAAAGAUGACUGAAAAGCCAAUGUCUCCGUGAGUGAGUUGUGGAGGGGGGGAGGCAUCGUCCUCCUCAUCGGGGUUUUGUUUUGAUAACAUCCAGAAGUUCUCAAGGUAUCAGAAAGACGAAUUUGAGGUAACUAUCGCUGUGGGCUUGCUCGAUGCUUUGCAAGUAAGAAAGCAGGGGGAAACGGCAUUUUAAUUCAGUAAAACAGUGAUUUAAGGCUGGUGAUGUGCGGAGGAAAUUCGCUAUGUGUGUGGGGAGGGGGGGUUACUGAUCUAUAUCAGCUAUUUCUUUCAAGGAUAUUGUGAUUGCUCUCCAAACCCGAGAUACUUGAUGAGAGGAAUUUCCCCAAAGUAUGGUAAAAAUGUCUCUCCUAAGCAUGCAAAUCCAGACAUCGACUGUGACGAAAGUAUAUUGAGCAAUUCAGUGACAUGCUCUUGUUUAAAGCUUGUGAAUGUGCUCUUGUCUUUGUGGGGUUGUCCUGGAUCUGUGGUGUGGGGGCUGGGGGGGGGAGAUUUACACAACACUAUCUUAGCCUUUUCACAGAUCAGAGCCGCUCUGCUGUACAGGGCAUGGAAAUUUCCAGACAGGGGCUGAGCAUGCUCAGUUCGCAACAGGGGGCGUGGCCUCCCUUGGCCCCUGGUGUUGAUUGACAAGAGGGGAGGAGGAGCCACUGUGUGCUGGGAGGAGACAGAGGGGGCGCGUCCAGCCCUUGGGCAUGACCACCUGGAGGUGCCCCUCUGAGGGGCGCAGUUGAUCGCAGGGCCUUGGUUGUAACCGACCAAGCCUUGCGGGUUUGGCAUGAAGCAGGUCGGCCGGUUCCGGUUCUGGCCUCAGGAGUCCUGGAGUUGAUCCUUUUCGGCCAUUUGGGGCAUCUGUAGUGGCUACAGCAACAGCAUCAUCAGUGUCCUGCAGUUUAAAGCGAUCUGAUAACCCAGUCAAGUGGUGGUGUGACCUCAGGGAGGACUUGGUCACUCGGCUUGGGCCCUGCAUGGUGACUGUUUUAAUGAGAGCCAGGAUUACCAUGGAAACGAGAGAGGAUGCAUCUACUUGAGACGCCAUGCGAAUGUGGCUUGAUUUAAUGGAGAGCCUUUUAGCCCAAACCCUUUCGAAAAGGGGCCUUUUCAUGGUUCGGUUGUGCAGCUGUUAUCCGAGAUUCCACAAGCCUGUCAGCCCCCCGAUGGAAGCUAACCUGAGGAAAUUGCCUUCUCUUUUUACUGUUAACUUUUAAAGGGUCCCUUGAUUGGACUCGACAUGCUUUGUGAUAAUGAAAUUGGGCUGGUGGAUAAUGUUUGGUGGCCCUGUUGCGAUUCAUAAGCCAUGCACGUUAGUUUGACUUAAGAGACUUGAACUGGCUUACUUCAUAGUUGUAAUUGUUCUGUACCCCUAUGAUUGACCAUCUGUAAAACUGUAGAUGCUCUCAUCAGGUUGCUGUUUGACCAGGUGGGAGUUUUAUUUAUACUGUUUGGCCACUGGAUGGCAGUCAUGCAACAUUCUUUUGCAGAUAGUAAUGUAAACAAAGAACUUUGUUAAAUAAUUUAACCUAAUCAAAUUCUGUGUAUUUACCAUUGUAUGAAGGAGUAAUUCAGGAUGCUUUUGUACAAUAAGGUAUUGAUGCCUCUUAUCUACUAAACAGCUGUGGUUUAACAAAAGCUGUUUUUUACCUCUGAGCUGCAACUUUAUCCAGCCAUCAGGAUAUUCCUUAGUUUAAUUACACUUAGACUGUAUUCUGGCUUUAUAAAAUGAUCUUGCUUUUUAUUGCACUUUACUCGGAGAAAAGCUUUUCCAUGCUAUUUAGUUUUUUAAAAUUUCUUCGGAUCCUGUUAACUUUUAAUAUAGCUGGAUUUGACUUGAAUGUGUAUUCAUAUUUUUCCCCAAGAUCCCCCUUCUGUGAUGUGCACUCUAGGAGCAUUUUCCUCCUGAGCUGGAUAUGAUCAAGCUUCACUCUUAAGUCCAUGUGAUUUAGAUGGGUUGUUGAACCUGUGUAUUAUUACUAGUCUUGGCUGAUACAACCUUGCCAGUGUCUGGAAAGAUCUGCCCCACUGACCAGUAGUCCUGGAGUAAUGUUAACUUCAGUGUAUCCUGAAUCCUAGAUUUGUGAAAGGAGUACUCGCAGCUCCUCAUCAGGUGUGACACCUAGCAAUCAUGAUACUUGUGUAUUUAACCCAUUUUUUCCUUUCAGGGAUGUAAACAAAAUAAGUUAAAAUAUUAAAGAUUAAAUUAAG